AGUUCCAGCAUCAGCCCUGGAGCUGCUUGGGUUCCGUCAGCCUGUCAAGAUUUCCCAUUUCUUUUGAGGAAAGGGUGCAGACCCAAAAAAACCAAGAAACCAACUCUCAUUUGUGCUUUCAGUGCUUGGAAACCCAGAAGGGAAACCAUGCCAUUUUUGGGCCAAGACUGGAGAUCUCCAGGAUGGAGAUGGAUUAAAACAGAAGAUGGCUGGAAAAGAUGUGACUCCUUCAGUCCAGAACUUGAGGAUGAGAGCAGCCAGCUCAACAACAUCAGUCACACUGUCAUCUUAACUGAUGAUGAUGAUGAAGAAGAAAUAUACAGAACUGAAGAUUGUGAAUUUGCAGCCAAGAAAAGGAAAAAAGACCAUUUUCGGAAUAAAUCAAAAUCCCAAUGUUUUUAUCGUGAAAAAUGGAUCUAUGUUCACAAAGAAAGCACCAGAGAAUAUGUUUUCUUCUUUUUCAAGAGACAUGGCUAUUGCACAUUGGGAGAAGCUUUUAAUCGCUUAGAUUUUUCAAGUGCAAUUCAGGACAUCAGAAGGUUCAAUUAUGUGGUCAAAUUGUUGCAGUUAAUUGCAAAAUCUCAGCUAACCUCACUGAGUGGUGCAGCACAGAAGAACUACUUCAAUAUUUUGGACAAAAUUGUACGAAAGGUUUUGGAAGACCAACACAAUCCACGCUUAAUCAAAGAUCUUCUUCAGGAUCUGAGUUCUACUCUCUGUAUACUGAUUAGGGGAGUAGGGAAAUCUGUGUUGGUGGGGAACAUCAAUAUUUGGAUUUGCCGAUUAGAAACUAUCCUUACAUGGCAACAACAACUAAAAAAUCUUCAGAUGAACAAGCAAGUCAACAAUGGUCUCACGCUCAGCGAUCUUCCUCUGCAUAUGCUGAAUAACAUUUUAUACAGGUUCUCAGAUGGCUGGGACAUUAUUACCCUAGGUCAAGUGACCCCAACACUGUACAUGCUCAGCGAAGACAGGCAGUUAUGGAAAAAACUUUGCCAGUACCAUUUUGCAGAAAAACAGUUCUGUAGGCAUUUGAUCCUGUCGGAAAAAGGUCACAUUGACUGGAAGCUGAUGUACUUUGCACUUCAGAAAUGUUAUCCAAUAAAGGAACAAUAUGGGGACACAUUACAUUUUUGUCGACAUUGUAGUAUUCUGUUUUGGAAGGACUACCACCUUGCUUUGUUAUUCAAGCAGGUGCAGCUGUCAUUGAACUCAAAAAUUUAUGCCCUCUUACACAAAGAAUGAAUUUUGCACAAAGUAGGCAUUAAUGGCUGUUUCCACAUUCUAAUGGAUUUAGUUCAGCACUGAAAUCUAAGAACAGUAAAGGCAACAUCACAGAAUUCUGUCUCUGCAGUAUGGAACAAAGGAUACAGGACAUCCCUGCACUGCCAAUGAUCCAGAUACCUGUUUCAUGCCAGUUUCUCCUCAGCACUUCAUUGAUCUCUUCAAAUUUUAAGAGGUGCAAUGGCCUUGUUUUUGUUCUUAUUUUUGGUCAUCUUUUUGAAGAAUCAUGCAGUAUGUAUUAUGCUUUGUGUGCAAUAUCUUUUUAAAUGUACUUCAUAGUAAAAAGGGAUGUCUAGGAGGGAGGGGGGAAAUUGGAGAGGUGUAUUCCAAAUGUUGUUGUGUGCAGAAAUGAACUGAAGAGGAAUAAAUAUUUCCAACGAAGACACAUUCUGUAGGCAUGUCUACAAAAGGCUUUUUUGAAUCCAAGAAAGAGUACAUUUUUAGUCCUGCCUUUAAGUCCAUUUUGUACUGAUUUAACAUUUCAUUAAGCCUGUUGAGACUUGGGGGAGAGAGUUGUUGGAAGGGCUAUUCUUGGAGUGACCAAAAGCAAUUUGUCUUAAUCCUUCACUCUUUUUAUGCCACCAUUUUCCAAGUACUUACGUACACUUUGCACAUUUAUAAAUAUUCCUCUGAUACCUUUUUGGACUCCUUCAUAAAUAUCAAGUCAAUUACCAAGUUGGCAUUAAUCAUUGUGAGUUUGCGUGUGAAUAAAAUAAAGAGUUGUGAUUAUUUGUUGUUGAACCUGUUAUGAAGGAAACCAACCUCUGUACAUAAUUAUGCAAAAUAUUUAUUUUCUUAAAAGGUAUUUUAUUAACUACAUCAAACCUGUUUAAAGACAUCCUAAAUAGUAUGGGAGGCUGCUCAGUAGCUGCUGAAGAAUGAUGGAUUUUUCCAAAGGUAGCCACUGUCUUUUAUUUUUAUUUAAUUUUUAUUUUACAUUUGGUGUUAAACUGUUGCAGAAGGACUUUUAGACAUCCUCAAGAAAGGACACAUUACUGAGCUUUAAAUUACUGAGCAGAAAAUUAAUACAGCAUGUUGCUAGGCCUCUGGUACAGUGGUGGUAUUACAUUAUUCUAGUAACUGAGGCUCUGAGCUGGAAAUUCUUUGCACUAAAAUGUCGCUAGUUGAUCUGGAGCACUUCCUGCUGACUAACCCCAUAGUGACGUGAAUUCUGCAGGAAGCUACCUUCUUAUACCUUGUAAAUUACAGAAGAGGGGAGGGGCACUGUCCAGAGACAGGAAAAAAUAACAAAGUUGUUCACAAAGUUUUGUGGAGAGAUCAUUUACCAACUGUGUAAUGUAAAGACAAAAUACAAAAUAUAUAUCACAUUGCUUGUUUUGAAUCUAGUUUUGUACACAAUGUAAUAAAUCAUGUUUUACCUAUUA
Molecule: RNA transcript, 2669 nt
Organism: Dermochelys coriacea (leatherback sea turtle)
Lineage: Eukaryota; Metazoa; Chordata; Testudines; Dermochelyidae
Gene: FBXO25
Gene name: F-box protein 25
Exons: 13
Source: RefSeq, a predicted model, not a curated record